UAUGGCGGCUUUAAUUCAAAUUAGAGAUCUUUGGGCAUAAACGAGAGUCCACGAAAAUCUUACUUAAUAUUGUAAAACAUUUUUUAUAUCGCCGUCUUCAAGAAAAAUUGAAUAAAAUUUUUCAAAAAAUUUAAUAAUUAAAAAGACAGGUAAACAUGAAGAUUAUUAUUAAGAAUAAAUCUGAAGAUCAUUAGUUUACAAGAAUGAGGAAAAUGAAAGUUUUCCAAAAAUGAAUUUAAAAGUAAAUUUAUUUUAUUAUAAUAAAUUGAAAUUUGUUAAUUUAAGUGUACACAUCGCCCGUCGCUCUA
This 308-nucleotide ribosomal RNA is filed under the name Liposcelis obscura. Its description in RNAcentral is "partial 12S ribosomal RNA". The record is from RNAcentral. Lineage: Eukaryota; Metazoa; Arthropoda; Insecta; Psocodea; Liposcelididae.